Molecule: ribosomal RNA, 442 nt
Filed under: uncultured bacterium
Lineage: Bacteria
Description: partial 16S ribosomal RNA
Rfam family: Bacterial small subunit ribosomal RNA
Source: RNAcentral
CCUACGGGCGACAGCAGUGGGGAAUAUUGGGCAAUGGGCGCGAGCCUGACCCAGCAAAGCCGCGUGAAGGAAGACGGCUCUACGGUUGUAAACUUCUUUUAAGAGAGAAGUGCAGAAGACGGUACCUCUUGAAUAAGACACGGCUAACUACGUGCCAGCAGCCGAGGUCAUACGUAGGUGGCAAGCGUUGUCCGGAUUUACUGGGUGUAACGGGCGUGCAGCUGGGAAGACAAGUCAGAUGUGAAAUCUCGCGGCUCAACCGUGGAAUUGCAUUUGAAACUGUUUUUCUUGAGUACCGUAGAGGUCAGCGGAAUGCGUGGUGUAGCGGUGAAAUGCGUAGAUAUAAGGAAGAACACCAGUGGCGAAGGCAGAUGACUAGACGGCAACUGACAGUGAUGCGCGAAAGCGUGGGGAUCAAACAGGAUUAGAUACCCCAGUAGUC